CUAUAGGUGAGACGAAUAGGAAUCAAGAGCAACAACAAUGACUCAGUGAAAUUGCUGCUACGGAUUGACUUUGGAUAUGGUGAUCCCUAAUAUUGAGGCUCUUGAUGCAAGGUUCGAGCCUACGACUCUCAUAUCAUAACCAACUUGACAAAUUAACUAAAUCAACAACCUCCGUUGGUUAAACAAAUCACUGGCCAUACAAGAUCAAUGUGUGUACCAGAG
Molecule: long non-coding RNA, 222 nt
Filed under: Elaeis guineensis (African oil palm)
Lineage: Eukaryota; Viridiplantae; Streptophyta; Magnoliopsida; Arecales; Arecaceae
Description: long non-coding RNA (EGUI_LNC015527)
Source: RNAcentral